Solanum stenotomum is the source of this 3691-nucleotide long non-coding RNA. RefSeq lists it as uncharacterized. Lineage: Eukaryota; Viridiplantae; Streptophyta; Magnoliopsida; Solanales; Solanaceae. The transcript has 7 exons. The record is from RefSeq and is a predicted model, not a curated record.
UAACCUUGUCUUAGAGAAUAUUAGACCUUCUGAAACUACAAAGGACACAAAAGAUAUCCAUUUUGAGAGAAACAUAAUUGUUAGUGAAGAGGACUUGUUGUUACCAAAAAAUUUAAAUGCCGAACAACUUAUAUCGUACAAUACAAUUAUUGAUAGAAUAUCUUCUAAGAAGGCAGGAGCUUUUUUCGUUGAUGGUCCCGGAGGAACAGGUAAAACUUACUUAUAUCGGGCAUUAUUAGCAACUGUUCGAUCUCAAGGAUUUAUAGCUUUAGCAACUGCAACUUCAGGAGUAGCAGCUUCUGUUCUUCCUGGAGGACGAACUGCUCACUCGCGUUUUAAAAUGCCUAUUGACAUAGAUGAUAAUUUUUGUUGUAAUAUUAGUAAACAAAGUCCACUUGCUUGUUUAAUUAAAGAUGCAAAAUUAAUUGUAUGGGAUGAAGCAUCUAUGGCAAAAAAAAACAUGAUUGAAGCUCUUGAUGUACUUUUGAGAGAUAUAAUGGAUGUCAAGACACUUUUUGGUGGUAAAGUUAUUGUAUUUGGAGGUGACUUUAGACAGACUCUUCCAGUAGUGUGAAACGGGAAAAAAGAAGAUUUUAUUCAUCAAAGCUUAUUAUACUCCAACAUUUGGAAUGAUCUUGAGAAAUUACAUCUAUCUGAAAAUAUGCGUGCAAGAAUAGAUCCAUCUUUUUGUGAAUAUCUACUUAGAAUUGGAAAUGGAAAAGAAACAACUCAGUGUGAAAACAAAAUUGAGAUUCCUAAUUCUCUUAUUAUUCCUUUUACAACUGAAGAACAAUCCUUAGAUACCUUAUUUAACGUAACAUAUCCUGAUUUAUGUACAUUUUCUUCUAAUUCAUCUGCAAUAUCUUCUCGUGUUAUUUUAACAACAAAAAAUGAUUUUGUAAAUGAAAUAAAUGAUAUGCUAAUCAGAAAAUUUCCAGAAAGAGCUACAACAUAUGUCGCAACAGAUGAAACUGUUGAACCAAAUGAUCAAAGCCAAUUUGAAGACUUUUUACAUACUUUACACCCUCCUGGCUUACCUCCUUAUAAGUUAACUUUAAAAGAGAACUGCCCAGUUAUGUUGUUACGAAAUUUGAAUCCUUCCGAAGGUUUAUGUAAUGGCACACGAUUAACAUGUUGCGACCUUAAAACGCAUGUCAUAAGUGCUAAAAUUGAAAGUGGUGACUUCAAAAAUACACAUGUAUUUAUUCCAAGAAUUCCAUUGCUGACAUCACAAGAUGAGAAAAUACCUGUACAAUUUAAAAGGACACAGUUUCCUCUGCGAUUGUGUUUUGCUAUGACUAUAAAUAAAGCUCAAGGUCAAACGUUAGAUUUUGUUGGAAUUUACCUACGAGAACCUGUUUUUUCACAUGGUCAAUUAUAUGUGGCUUUAUCAAGAGCAAAAAGUUCAAAAUCUGUCAAAAUACUAAUUCGUCCCCCUACUGCAGACAGUAGUGAUGAUCAUUCAACAUAUAAUAUAGUGUAUGAUGAAAUUAUUCAGAGAGCCUUCUCAUAGGUAAGGUAACAAUUGACUUUGAUAUAGUUAAUUUCAUCAAACUUUCCAUUGUAAUUUUUUGUUGCUAUAAAAAAAUGAUGAUUCACUGAAGCAUGCCAGCCUGCAGUUCUUGAAUAGUUACUUGUCGAGAAUUUUGUUGUGCAAAUUCAUAUCCUAUUUCUUGUUAUGAAAUGUUAUUAAUUGGCUUGGCCAUCUGAAUAGGUCAAGUUUAACAUGUUCUGCUCUAGGCCUCAUUCACUGGCACCACCACCUGAUUCACCAUCCAGAAUUGAAGAAUUGUAAGCUGGAGAACCUUUGUCAACUUCAACGUGUCUCUAAAACUUGUUUCUCUGAUUCAUUUUAAUUUAAAAGUUAUGUUGUCUAUUUGUUCUUGCUUCAUUUCCUUUUUCCUCCUAUUUUCCCUUUGCCAAACUACUUCAGUUGAUGUAGUGGUUUGUCCAUCUGAUUUCGCAGGUUAUUUCACCAACAGAACAAAUUCCAGAAAUGACUUCUAACUACUCAAGACAAAGGAUGAACCUGAAGCUUUUCUGAAAACUGUUAAUCUACACAAUAAUUGCGGAGGCCGAUAGUUCAAGAAAUUCGGAUCCUCGACAGGCCUUCCAAUUUCUUGGUUCACACGUCCAUAUAGCAAGAAAUACCUUACAAACAUCAAUAUUUUACUUCCUGCCAUUAUUUGAUAAUGGCAACUCAUUACCAAAUUGAUACAUUUGUAUCUUACAGGCAAAACACUUCUACAGCUAAAACAAUUGAAGUUGAGACGACGUCAAGCCAGAGGUACCUUUGUUUUGUCUACUCUACAGUCAUACUGCACUGCCAAGGCAAUUGAAGAAAGAGGGUACAUUUUCCAUUUGAGAAAUCUAACCACUUCUCCACAUAUUGUAUACUGCCAACAUAUCAAUAGAGAAAUUCAUCGUCAAAAAAGAACAAUUUUGACUCAAGGAUAUGUCGCUGAGACAUUUGGAACUCAUUUUCAACUUCCUCAUCUGGAACCAAUAGGUGCUUUAGACAAUGCAAAACUACUUGCUAUUUAUACGGCUGAUAAUUUUAGUUCUCCUGAAGAUCAUUGUCAGCCAUCAUCUGCCCCUCAUCUGAUCCAACUGUCAUACAUAUUUGCGCCACAGAUGAUCGUGUUGGGCCCGGGCAACGCCCGGCCUGCCUUUACUAUGGAUGGUCAAUGGCGGUAAACUGGUGAGGAGUUGAUAUAGCUACCUUAAAUUGCAGCUUGCAUGAAGAACUCUGCCUCCUGUUGGUAUUUUGGUGUCAAAGAGUGUUAUACUCAUUUGAGAAAAAGCAGUUUUCAGGCAAGUGACACAAUCUACAGCUGACAAAUCCGGUAGACACUGCACCAUGCCAUAUAUUAUUUGAAAAUCGUUAAUUUCAUCAGAAUUGUCAGCAUAUUUCAGAUUGAGACUGACGGAUCCUAGAAACCGAGGUGUCUAACAUGGACGCGAAAGAUACAUUACAAGAGCGGACCAAACACUCAUCAAACCAUACAAUUGCCUGUUUCUUGAGCGGACAUUCAAGUUGAAUCCGCUCUCUUGCCACGUCUAUGCAGUUUUUGCAGUCUUUAGGUACAGCGUCUCCUCUACAGAGGAAUAGUCCAUAAACUUUGUCAGGGUCUUCUCCUUCACUGGCUUUUGUAUAGAUUAUUGUAUAGUGAUGUGUACAGCAAUCGGUUAAGAUUUGAUUGGAAUUUGCUUCCUUCUGUAUAGUUAUUGGACAUUGAACAAUCGUAAUAUAAGGGCUUCACCUGCAUCUGUGCUUUGACACCCACAAGCAGUACUGAAUGGAGCAACAAAAUGAGAAUUAAUGUUUGGGUACUUCACAAACACAAAACUAGAACCGACGCCAUUCUUGACUAAAGUAAGUUGCUGUUGAAUUAUGUCUAAAGAAAUCAAAAUGAUAGGAUGAGAAGAAGAUGAAUCUGUUCGAAAACUACAAGUUUGAUUUUUCAUGAAAAUAAUUUUCCCAAAACAUUUUCGUUCCCUCCUUCCUACCAAUAGUCAUUUGUCAAUGACAAAUUAAUUACAAGGAAUAAUUGGUCUAGACUGAAAGUGACAGCACUGGGGAAGAAGUUAUUUUAAGUACGUUAAAUGUAAAUCAAUAACUUGUAGAAUUUGUACUUUAUUUCUUCCUCAAAUAUAUGCUUUUAUAUAAAAUAUUUUUUACCUUUAAUGU